RNAcentral lists this ribosomal RNA (1261 nucleotides) under Avena sativa (oats). RNAcentral describes it as "bacterial LSU rRNA". It matches the Rfam family "Bacterial large subunit ribosomal RNA", at positions 1101 to 2248 of the family's 2925-position model. The record is from RNAcentral. Lineage: Eukaryota; Viridiplantae; Streptophyta; Magnoliopsida; Poales; Poaceae.
UUGGCUUAGAAGCAGCCACCCUUGAAAGAGUGCGUAAUAGCUCACUGGUCAAGUGAUUCCGCGCCGAUAAUGUAGCGGGGCUUAAGUUAUCCGCCGAAGCUGUGGCAACCUGUGUGGUUGGGUAGGGGAGCGUCGUGUCAGUGGUGAAGCUGCCGGGUGACUGUGUGGUGGAGUUGAUGCGAGUGAGAAUGCAGGCAUGAGUAGCGUGUGACGGGUGGGAAUCCCGUCCGCCGAUUAUCCAAGGGUUCCAGGGUCAAGUUUGUCUGCCCUGGGUGAGUCGGGUCCUAAGGCGAGGCCGACAGGCGUAGUCGAUGGGUAACCAGUUGAUAUUCUGGUACCGGCUUGUCACCGUCCGUGUCGAGGUGUGUGAUGCUAAGCAUGUGAGCUUGUCUUGGGAGUGUUUUUGAUGCUUCUGGGGUGGGUGAGUGUGUGAACCGAUCAUGUAGUAGGCAAGCUGCGGAGGGACGCAGUGAGGUAGCUCAUCCCCGGUGAUGGUUGUCCGGGGCUAAGUGUGUGGACUGUCUGGUAGGUAAAUCCGCUGGGCGUGAAGGUUGAGGCAUGAUGGGGAGCCCAUGGUUGUGGGUGAGUGAGUGAUCCUGUACUGUCGAGAAAAGCUUCGUGAGCGAGGUGGCGGGUCCGCCCGUACCCUAAACCGACACUGGUGGAUAGGUAGAGUAUACCGAGGCGAUCGAGUGAAUCGUGGUGAAGGAACUCGGCAAAAUGCCCCCGUAACUUUGGGAUAAGGGGGACCUUAGCUGUCGUGCACCCGUGCGGUGUGGUGGCGUGAGGGGCGCAGAGUCCAGGGGGAAACGACUGUUUACCAAAAACACAGGUCCGUGCGAAGUCGUAAGACGAUGUAUACGGACUGACUCCUGCCCGGUGCUGGAAGGUUAAGGGGAUCUGUUAGAGCAAUCGAAGCAGUGAACUUAAGCCCCAGUAAACGGCGGUGGUAACUAUAACCAUCCUAAGGUAGCGAAAUUCCUUGUCGGGUAAGUUCCGACCUGCACGAAUGGAGUAACGAUUUCCCUACUGUCUCCACCAUGAACUCGGUGAAAUUGCAUUACGAGUAAAGAUGCUCGUUACGCGCAGCAGGACGGAAAGACCCUGAGACCUUUACUAUACUUUGGUAUUGGUGUUCGGUGCAGCUUGUGUAGGAUAGGUGGGAGACUGUGAAGCUUGGACGCUAGUUCAGGUGGAGUCAUCGUUGAAAUACCACUCUGGCUGUACCGGUCACCUAACUUCGGACCAUGAUCUGGUUCAG